This is a small nuclear RNA of Pteronotus mesoamericanus, 105 nucleotides long. The record is from RefSeq and is a predicted model, not a curated record. NCBI's taxonomy places the organism in Eukaryota, Metazoa, Chordata, Mammalia, Chiroptera, Mormoopidae.
GUGCUUGCUUCGGCAGCAUGUAUACUAAAAUUGGAACAAUACCCAGAAGAUUAGCAUGGCCUGGGCAGGGAUACCAUGCAAAUUAGUAAAGUGUUCCAUAUUUUC